UAAACCCGACCCGCAUGCCGUUUCCGUUUCCGGCCACUCCACCGGCCAAGGUUGGUACCGAUCGGAAGCUCGUGCGAUGCCGGUCAUCUCCAUGCCAUCCUUGUCACCGGAAAGUGUUCGAAAAGCUACCGAUCGAAGCCGUGAAAAGCCGCUUCAAUUCGCCACGAUUUUGCCGGUUUCCGGUGACGCCACCACCUGGGUUUUGUUCCCCACAAUUCCCUCUGUCUUUUACGACCAGCCACAGCCACCGGAGGAGUUGAUUUGCAGUUGAUCG
Molecule: long non-coding RNA, 274 nt
Filed under: Citrus maxima (pomelo)
Lineage: Eukaryota; Viridiplantae; Streptophyta; Magnoliopsida; Sapindales; Rutaceae
Description: long non-coding RNA (CMAX_LNC001958)
Source: RNAcentral